UACAGAGGUCCCAAGCGUUGUUCGGAUUCAUUGGGCGUAAAGGGUGCGUAGGCGGCGCGGUAAGUCGGGUGUGAAAUCUCUGGGCUUAACCCAGAGGCUGCUUCCAAAACUGCUGUGCUUGAGUGUGGGAGAGGCGCGUGGAAUUGCAGGUGUAGCGGUGAAAUGCGUAGAUAUCGUGAGGAAGACCAGUGGCGAAGGCGGGUUUCUGGAGAGUUCCUGACGCUGAGGCACGAAGGCCAGGGGAGCAAACGGG
This 253-nucleotide ribosomal RNA is filed under the name uncultured bacterium. RNAcentral's name for it is "partial 16S ribosomal RNA". It matches the Rfam family "Bacterial small subunit ribosomal RNA", at positions 524 to 776 of the family's 1533-position model. The record is from RNAcentral.